GAAAAAGGGUGUAUAUAUAUGUAUAUAAUUGUAUGUAUAGAUAGAAAACAGAGCAAACAGAGAGGUAAACAGUGAACAAAGAAAGCUGAAUAGUUUGGUUCUAAUUUGUCUCCUUGUUUUACUUGGAUUAGGAAAUAGCCUCAAUUCCUUUGUUCUCCCCCCUUCUUACAAGAAAAAGAAUUAGAGAAAACAAUUAAGGUGAAGCAGGGUCGGAAACGAUGAAUCUCGAGCUUUAUUUAUAAUAUAAAGUGCUUUAUUUUAUAGCCAUUUUUAGGGUUUGGAACGGCGGAACUUAAUUUUUAUGGAUCGUAUAAAGUGGUUAAUUUUAUAACCGUUAUAGGGUCAACGGUGAAUCUCAAUUUUUAUGGGUGGUAUAAACUGAACUAUUUUACAACUGUUAUAUGGUCAGAAACGACAAAUCUUGAUUUUUAUGGAUGGUAUAAAGUGAUUUAUUUUAUAGACGUUAUAGGGUCAACGACGACUCUCGAUUUUUAUGAUCAGUAUAAAGUAGUCUAUAUUACAGUUGUAAAAGGGUCAACGACGAAUCUCGAUUUUUAUGGAUGGUAUGAAGUGAUUUAUUCUAUAAUUAUUAUAGGGUCAACGAUGACUCUCGAUUUUUAUGAUCAGUGUAAAAUGGUCUAUUUUGACAGUCGUUAUAAGGUCAACGAUGAAUCUCAAUUUUUAUGGGUGGUAUAAAGUGAUUUAUUUUAUAAUUGUUAUAUGGUCAAUGAUGACUAUCGAUUUUUAAGAAUAGUAUAAACUGAUUUAUUUUGACCGCCGUUAUAGGAUUAAUGAAUCUCGACUUGUGUAGUUGUUACGGGGUCAAUGACGACACUCAAAAUAUAUGAAUAGUAUGAACUAAUCUAUUGUGAUAGUUGUUAUAGGGUCAACGGCAUAUCUCAUUUUUUAUGGAUACUAUAAAGUAAUUUAUUUUAUAGUUGUUAUACGGUUAAUGACAAUUUUCAAUUUUUAUGGAUAAUAUAAAGUGGUAUAUUUUAUAAUCGUUAUAGGGUCCACGACGAAUCUCGAUUUUUAUGAAUAGUAUAAAGUGAUUUAUUUUAUAGUCGUUAUAGGGUCAACGACGAAUCUUGAUUUUUAUGGAUAGUAUAAAGUGAUUUAUUUUGUAGCUGUUAUAUGGUCAACGUCCAAUCUCAAUUUUUAUGGACAAUAUAUAGUGAUCAAUUUUACGAUCAUUAUAGGGUCAACGGCGAAUCUCGAUUUCUAUGAAUAGUAUAAAGUGAUUUAUUUUAUAGUCGGUAUAGGGUCAAUAGCGAAUCUUUACUUUUAUGGAUAGUAUAAAGUGAUUUAUUUUGUAGACGUUAGAGGGUCAACGUCCAAUCUCAAAUUUUAUGGACAGUAUAGAGUGAUCGACUUUGCAAUCAUUUUAGGAUCAACGACAAAUCGCAAUUUUUAUGAAUAGUAGAAAGUGAUUUGUUUUAUAGUCAUUAUAGGGUCAAUGGCGACGAAUCUUGACUUUUAUUGAUAGUAUGAAGUGAUUUAUUUUGUAGUCAUUAGAGGGUCAACGUCCGCUCUCAAUUUUUAUGGACAAUAUAAAGUGAUCGAUUCGACAAUCAUUAUAGGGUCAACCGCGAAUCUCAAUUUUUAUGAGUAGUAUAAAGUGAUCUAUUUUAUAGUUGUUAUGGGGACACCGACGAAUCUCAAUUUUUAUGAAUAGUAUAAUGUGAUCUAUUUUGAUAGUCGUUAUAUGGUUAAUGGUGAAUCUUGAUUUUUAUAAGCUUAUUUUUUUAGUCAUUAUAGGGUCAACGACGAAUCUCAAUUUUAUAAAUAGUAUAAAUUGAUCUAUUUUAUAGCCUAUAGGAUCACGAGCGACGAAUCUCAAUUUUUAUGAAGAGUACAAUUAAGUGAUCUAUUUUACCGAUAUUAUAGGGUCAAGAAAGACGAAUCUCAAUAUUUAUUGAUAAUACAAAGCAAUCUAUUGAAAAGAUUUAAUGAACUAAUAAUAUUAACAUAAACAUUGAAAAUUGAUAAAGAUAUUUAGAAUCAUUAUUAUGCAUUAAAAUUGAAGUGAUCAUCUUAUAGUUAUUAUGAAAUACAUCGAAUAAGUGUUAAGCAUGUUAAUUACAUGUGUGUGGAUAAUACAAGUAAGUAAUUAACGGUCAUAAUUAGAAAAUCAAGCUUACAUUUAGACAUGUGAUAUGAAAUCAUCGAAUUUCAAUUUCUCUAAAAAAAAAGUAUAACUUGAUAUUCUAAAUCAUGAUCUAAGACUUGACCCGUAAAAUUUAUAUUAGAAAAAAAAAACACUUGUAAAAUCUUAUAAUAUUACUUGAUAUUCGUAUUUUAAAGAUUUGACAUGUAAGGAUAUUAAGAGAUCUUUUGAUAAGGUGUGACACAAAUUAAAAGAAUUAUUUUCAUUUUCCACUUUUAAAAGAAAAAAUGUAUACAUUAAGUUUAUUUUGUCUCUCAUAGAAAUAUUGAUCAAUCGAUAAAUAUAUUUGAAAAUCGUUAUUAUGAAUUUACAUAUCGAGAUAUGUCGACAUACAUGAUAUAAUCGUGUUUCAUGAUCGUUAAUAAUCGGGGUUGAAUUGAAAAGGUCUUAAUUAUUCAUCAUUGAAGAUAUUUUUGUAAUGUAGAAGUUAAGAAACAAAAAGUUUAUUAAAAAUUCUAAAAGGAAUUGCUUGGAGAUCAAGUUUUAUGUUAGUUGAAAGUGUUUCUCCUUUUUUGUGCAUUCGUAUUUCGAGAUUUUCUAUACGCUACUUAAAAGCGUAUUAUCAUAUAAUUCCACGAAAAUGAUUUUUUUCUAGAGAUGAUAAUCAAUUACUUAAAGAGUAAUUUUGAAGAGGAUAGUACAUGGAAUAAGGGGCGACAUUAUAAUGACUCUGGUUCAACUAUUAAGAUAUUAUUCGCUUAAAACUUAAGUAUAUACCUCAAUAAUUAAUUUAUCAUUUCAAUAUAAAACUCAUGUACACCUUCUCGAUAGACUUAUCCUCCAUUACGAACAUCACAUACACAUAAGGUAAUUGAAAAAACAUGUUUCACACCUCUAGAAAUAAAAUAAAUAUAUUUGGUCUUAGAAUUAAAUGAUGAUUAUUAUUCAACUAACUAGUAGCUGCAAGUUUGGCAGUUGGUAAGCAUUUGGUAGUGGGUAAAAAGUAUGUUAUUCAUUAUUUAUUUUUUACUAUUCGUUGUUCGAUAUCUGUAUUGAAGUCCGAUUACUCUAGAUUCACGCCCUGUAGGGCUUCAUUUAGAAAAAAUAUUUUCUAUCAAGAAUUUUUUUAAUAUCCAAAGCUCAACUCAAAACUUCUGAUUAAAGAAAAAAUAAUUUUAUUCACUGCAUUACAUCAUUUGCCAGUAUAAAUAUAUUGUAAAUGAAGGACAUUUUUACCAAACAUUUUAAACUAUUUUUUCAAGAAAGAUACAAAAAUAAAUUGUCCUUAUAUUAUUUAUUACAUCACUUUCCUGACUAUCUUUAUACUAUAUUUUGUACUAAUAUGAUAUAUGACAUAAAGUAACAAAGGCAAGACAUAAUAUAUAAACAUGAUCCUUAAUUUGACGUCAGUUGACAACUAUGACUUUUAACUUUAGUUGUGCACAAGUAGAUACUUAAACUUUUAUAAAGUUGAACAAAUAAACACAUCCGUCCUACAUGGCACCUUACAUGGAACUUUUGUGUCCUACGUGGCAUCUUACAUGUAUUAUGUCAUGUAGGACAUGUGUGUCUACUUGUUCAAUUUUAUACAAGUUUAAGGGCUUACUUGUGCACACUCAAAGUUGGAGGGCAUAGUUAUCCAUUGAAGCCAAGUUAAGAGUCAUGUUUAUGUAUUUAUGCCGAAAUGGUGUGAUAAUUCAUCUUCAUUCUAAAAAAUAUAUUUAAAAUAAAUAAAUGCUGGUCCUGUUACUCAAGAUAAGGAUUUAAUAUUUUAAAGUAAUUGGAAUUUUUCUUUUUUACCAACAAUUUCGGACUUUUUUUUUUGCUUUAUCACUUUUUGGAAUAGUUAAAUGGAAGCUUUGAACAACAAUAAGUAUAUGUUUACUUUUAAUUAAAAGUAUCUAUCUUUCUUGAUUUUAAAAUAUCGAUAAAUAUAUUUUUAUGUGAUUUAUAAAUUAUAAGCUCGAAUUCUAAAAAUAGUUAAUUAAUAUUUAGAAUAGAUUGUUUAUAGCAUUUGAGAUGCGAUCCUUUUCUAAAAUGCAGAAUACUUUGUGUACCAUCUCUUUGAAAUAAUUCUUUAAUAUUAUUGUAUUACAGUAUUUUUAUAUUUAUAAUUUAUCGAUAUUUUAAAUCACGAUUUAAUCUAAUAAAAAAAAAAGUUAAAUACUAUCGAAAAUUGUAUAGACGUUAGAUGUCUUCUAAUAGCUUAGUAGAAUUAUGGGAAUUUUUUUUGCAAAAAUGAAUUUGUGGUGUGAGUUUAAAAUAUUCGGAUAAGUGACUAAAGUUAGAAUAUUUUUAAAAUUAAAUACCAUAUGCCGUACAAAAAAAAUUAUAGGUGAAUAAUCCCAUAAUAAUUCAAGUAAUUAAUCAUUAAAAGGUAGGGUAUCCUGACAUACUUUUCUUUUUUUAAAAAAAUAUAUUCUUAUAUUAAAAAUACUUUAUAAUCACAAUGCUACGACAUAGUUUAGAUCAUAAUUUUUUUUUAAAAUUUCGUGCUCAAUAAGAUAAUAUCACAUAAUAUAUUACUUAUUAUUAUGUCGAAUUUAAAGUAUGAAUGGUGCGAAUAAGAAACCACGUGUCUUUUUCUAAGAAAAAUAACAUCCGCGGAAUUAAUAUUCUGUAAAAUUAAUAUAACAAAGAUUUCAUUGACCAAAAAAAUUAUCAAUCAACUGACUAAGUAAGUCUUUAAAUAUGUUUAACUUGAGUCUUUAAAUAAGUAUGAUAAACCAAUAAAAGUACUUUUCAAUGACUAAUUAAUUUAAUUAGUUUUUUAAUACUCUUUUUUCCCAAUUUAAGUGUCUUAAUUAUUUGAUAGAUCAUGAAAUAUAUAUAUAAAAAAAAAAAAUUAAUAGAUUUCUGGGUCUUGUAGUCUUAAUUUAAAGGUUUGUGUACUUGGAGGUAAAGUGAAAGGAUUACGAGAUGGGGAGUCGAGCCCUCACCGGUCACCAACAUGGUGAAAAUUCAGAUAGUCAACCAAGUUUAUGAGGUGUCGACACCAACAAUGGAAAACUCAAUCACAAGAACUACCAACGAUACAAUCACCAAGAUUUUUGAAUCUUGUAGUCUUAACUUAAUGAUUCGUGUACUUGUAACAUGUGAGUUAAUAGGGGGAGAGAAUUACUAGACGAGGAAUCGAGCCCGUACUGACAAAGUGUCGAUGCCAGUAACAAAAAACUCAAUCACAAGAACUACCAACGAUACAAUCACCACCACAAUAGAGUCUCACAUCCAAUGUCUUGUGUGAUAAAAAUGUGUCAUCAAAACUUAAAAAUAAAUUUUACAGAGCGGUUGCUAUUCAAUUCGAUACCUCUUUUCAUUACGUGUAAAGAGUUUUAUUCCAUUAACUACGUCUCAAUCCCAAACAAGUUGAGAUCAACUUCACCUACAACACAAAUGUUUCUUCAAAACUUUUGUAAUCACUUCCCCUUUGAACUCUUCUACAUGAGCAAAAGAAGAAGAAAAAAAGUACAUUUAACCAACAGAGCUAAACAAAUGUUUGGAACAGGCUACCAGAAAAUGCUCGAAUCAGUUUUUUCACUGCAGUUGGUUAAACGAUUUUCAGUCAGCGUUGUCAUGUAGUUCAUCGUGGCUCGUUCUAUCAACUUCAGAACUAUUAACGUGGCCAUUGGCAUCGUCGUUGGAGUCAUAUAUGUGCCCCAAUUUCACGCGUUUGGUCUCUAAGUACCUCUUAUUUUCUCUAGUUAUAGGAGCCAACAGGGGAACUCUACCUGAAAUUGCCAGACCAUAUCCUUUGAGCCCAACAUACUUCGCGGGGUUGUUUGUCAUCAGUUUCAUUGUACGAACACCCAAAUCUCGUAGUAUCUGAAAUCCAAUCAACAGGUUAAUGUUCAAUCAUUGAAGUUAAUAGAAAAACAUAAACAGAAAACGAGAAGAAAUGUCCGUGUGAAGGUAAAGGGAAGCUGCCAUUAGCAUGUAACUCAAGAAAAUCGCAAAUGUUUCACUACUAGCCAACAUUUUUCAGAAUGAUUUAAAGUUGAAGGAACAAAAUAUGUACAAACUACUAACUCAGGGAUCCAAUCGACAAAUUUACUAUAGAUAUAUAAAGGACUAUACUGGCAAUUGCAUUUCUCCCUCACACUCUCUGUAUAUAUAUAUAUGAUCAACAAUAACAUACCAAGUGAAAUCCCACAAAGUGAAGUCAAAGAGGCUGCUUAUGAAAGACCCUCGGCUCAAGUAAAAAAUCAAAGUAGUAAUGAAAAGAUAAAACGGCAGUGAAGAAAACAUGAUAACUAAUAGAAAAGCAGUGUCAAGCAUACAUGCAAGGAACAACAACAUCAACAAAAUAGUGCGAUAACUUAUACAUAAUAAAUAACAGAUGGUAACAAAUAACAAAAGCAAAUAUAUGAUCAACCUUGUAAAAGAAACAGUAAGAUCAAGGAGGACCGAUAAAGAUGUUAAAAUUUAGUUUUAUAAUCAAGAAAAAUGAUAACUUUCUUUGCAGACAAUACCUGUGCGCCAAUACCAUACUCGCGUGAAUCAACAGGUAAUCCCAGCUCUUCAUUAGCUUCAACCGUAUCACGCCCAUCAUCUUGCAGGAUGUAAGCACGAAGUUUAUGUCCCAAACCUAUUCCCCUUCCUUCAUGCCCACGGAGAUAUACUAACACACCCCUUCCAGCUUGUUCAAUUUGGUUCAUUGCAAGCGCUAACUGCUUACCACAGUCACAUCGGGCUGACCCAAAUAUGUCACCGGUGAGACAUUCCGAGUGCACUCUGACAAGAACAUCUUUCCCAUCUCCGAUAUCACCCUAUUAAAAUUGAACCUUGUCAUGAUUGUCAAAGAAUAAUCAGAAGGAUACUCCCUAUUUAAACAAAUCAUGUAUUCACAGUAUAACAAUUUUUUUCAAGAUUAGUUAAAGAAAUGGAGUAGACGGAAUUAUAGAAAAAGUUAGUGAUUAUGGUCAGAACUACAAGAUCAUCUAAAGAGAGAUUUUUUUUUUUUGAGUUAAGGGUAGCCAUCAUCUAAAGAGAGAGAUAUCCACAUAGAAUAUGAAAGAAGCAAGUUUAUUCAGCCCUCUAAUCACAACUUUGCUUACUUUGACCAUGGCAAUAUGUUCAAUUCCAUCCAAAACAGACUUAAAACAAUAGGCUUUAAAAGGUCCCCAAGUUGUUGGUAUAGGUGCAGCAGCAGCGAGAUCUACCAGUUUCUCUCUUUUCCUUCUAUACCUGCCAAAGGAUACAGAAGUCAUACUUCUUCUCAUUUGACGCAAGACUAAUCGGGACACAAAUAAGUACUACUUCGCUUUACAAAGUACUCUAUGAAAGUAGAUAUUCAUGAACAAGUGGUUAGUCUUGUUAUCUUAAGAACAACUAUACUUCAGGAAACUGGAAAGGUUUAGACUUGUCCAGUUUAUGCAUGACCUAUAAAGCCUAUUCGAUUUGCCUAACUCAGAAAUCAUCAUAUUGCCCUUUCAACCGUGUUUCUCCUUGCUCAUGUUGACGUCUAUGCUGAAUGAAUAUUGUCAACUCAUAAUAUAAGUCAGAUUCAGAAUCAUGCAAUUGAGGAUAAGCCAAUCCUGACAUUAGAAUGACACAUUUUAUUUUAUUUUAUUCUGCAAAAGGAAAUGACAAAUAGAUCAAUUCUCAUCCACUCGGAAUCUUCCUAGUAUUAAAGAAUUGGCAUAACCAAACACAAAGCAAUAAGGAAAACAAUGUCUUUCAUACUAAAGGAGCAAGUGAGAGUUAUCCAUUUUCUAUCUUGCUAAAGGGAUUUCAACUUGCAAUAAUAGGUACUCCCUUUAGUCCCAUUUUAUAAGACAGUACCUUCAGUCAAAUCUACAACUAUAAGACGAUCACUACUAGGAUAGAUACCACUUUUUCCUAAAGUACGAUUUUCUUAACAAGUUUUUAAAUAACUUUUUAAAAGCGAAAUCCCUGAAUAUUCUCCUUGUGCAGUUUCUGAGUGUAUGAAGUUAUUUUUGGGAAUCAAUCGAUGUCCAGAAUUAACUUUGAAAAUCAGACUGGUUGACCCUUGUGCUUUGAAUUGCGUCAAUUCUUCCUUGACAGAGGUUUUCUUUUCACAUUUUCUUUGAGGGUUGGAGGUUGCUUGAACAAGCAGAUAUGUUAAUAACCAGAAAAUUAAUCAUAAGGUUUUUAGGUUGCCUUCAUGAGUACAAUCUCAUUUGAAUUAACUUUUUUGAAAUGCAUCCAUUUCUCUAAAUCAGCAGCAUCUUGGGAAAUUCGUCAAUUUCUUCUUUGACAUGUCAGAAGGAUAUAAUACAGGAUUAUUAGCUUUUUUUAUUUUUUAACAAGCGCAGGAUUAUUAGUGUUAGAAUUGUGAAAGGCUGAAAGCUGUUAAUGUUAUUACACAUUUAUCCAAGUCGUUACCUGAUUAAAUCGGCAAUGGAUACAAUCUUUAAGUUCUCAGCCUCAGCAAAUUGACGAAGCCUCGGCAACCUGGCCAUGGAACCAUCAUCAUCCACAAUUUCACAAAGAACAGCAACAGGGUCCAGCCCAGCCAAUACAGCAAGAUCAACAGAAGCUUCAGUAUGGCCAGCUCUUUUUAGCACCCCUCCUUCUCUAUACUUGAGUGGGAAAAUGUGUCCAGGUCGGUUGAAAUCCUCGGGUUUUGAAUCAGCAGAUGCUAGAGCCAAAACUGUUUUUGCCCUAUCAUGUGCAGAUACACCUGUUGUGGUACCAUAUUUUGCAUCCUAUCAGAUCCAACUAAUUGGUGUCAAUGGCUGAGAAUAUUUGAGUUGUGGGCACUAAAUAACUGUCAGAGCAACAUGCCCUAAUAGUAUAUGCUUUUGACGUCUGAACACAGAGCAAUUCCAACCAAAUUACAAAUUGCAGUCAUGACAAGUCAACAAAAGUUUUUUCACGCCUCAAAAGCGAAGUAAUAUGAUUGGAAAACAACUGCUCUCGGUCAUUAUUUCAAGGACUAUGAACAAUAGAUUGAGAAAAUCUCUUAAAAUGCUUAUGCACAAACUGUGAGCCCCUGAUCAAGUUUCAUACCUAUUUGACAUAUUGAAGAAAAGUUUAGUGCACAAAACUUCGCUCAGAUGAGUGUUGGCAUUGGGCACUUAAGCAAACAUUAAAAGAGAGUUGUAACAAAUAUGGAAGUAAAUAGGAGAUCCCCUAGGUUUUGUCCCAGCAAGCCAAUAAAAUGAAUAUGAUGUAUGUGUGUUUCUCCUUGAUAGGAGGGUGUGGAAACGAGUAUCAGGGUAGAGGGUCAGUAGGUUGCCUAGUGUAUAUCCUUACUGUAUCAGGAGUAUUAGUAUUCUUUUUAUGUUUGCUUAUUCUUUGAUCGCUAGAAUGACCUGAUUGUUUCUUUCACUUCGUUUAUCUUAUUAUCCUGUUGUUGUUACUGUUUGUUAUUACUGCUUCUUUUUCUUCUCUCCUUGAGCCAAGGGUCUAUCUGAAACUGCCUCUCUACCCUCACAAGGUAGGAGUAAGGUCUGAGUACACUCUACCCUCCUCAGACCCCACCUUGUUGGAUUAUACUGGGUAUGUUUCUUGAUGUAUGUGUGUCUCAAAGUAAUCCCUUUCAGAUAGAUAUUCACUUCUGAGAUCAAUCAAUCCUCUUGCAUAGAAAAGGCAGUUCGGAUCACAAAUAUACUCAACAAAACCUAUCGAUGAUUUUCUCUAUUAUGUAUCCAAUAUGGAUAUAUGACGAGCAUUGUUUUUGGACCAGCUCAAGGGCAACCGUAGAUCCCAAUGAACAUCACCCUCACACAAUCCGCAUCUUAUUCUAUUUAAAAGAUCUGUCUUGAGGAAUCUAAUCAUGAUAUACAGUAAUCUUUUUUUUCUCAAGUCGAAUAGCAGCUUCUAUAAGCUAAGUUGCUCGGACUCUCCAAAAUUGUUGCCAUACCCUUGACGGAUCGUCCAAAAAUGCACUACUUUUGGAGGAUUAGACACGCACUGUUACGUUUCUGAAGAGUUCGAGCGACAUAGUCUAGAAGUAUAAAGAAAAAGUAGCGGACAUACCACAGAAACAGUGAAAGCAGUAGAGAGUUUCUCCUCAUUUUCCUUUGGCGGCACCAUUAGUGGAAGUUGAAGCCUAUCUAGAUCUUCACCUUUCAUACUUAUGCACACAAUUCCAGUACCAUGUUUUACAAUGAAGGCCAUUGCUUCAGGUGUCACCAAUUGUGCUGCCAUUAUUAAAUCACCCUCGUUUUCUCGGUCUUCAUCAUCUACAACAAUUACCAUCUGCAAGUCUUUUUCCAAAUUACUAAGGGAAAUGAAAGUACAAGUUUCGACUUGUAUGAAACUUAGAAAAUGUACAUAACAAAAAAAGCCCACAUCUUAGGAGAAAACAAACCUUGCCCUGACGAAUGUCCUCAAUAGCCUCCGGAAUAGAAGAGAAUCCUUCAACGGCAUGAUCCAAGUCAAAUUCAUCAACACCAGAGAGAAACCCACUUCUGUUUGGAGUUAUUACGGCAGCAGGUGUUCCAAAAGCUAUUUCAUCAGGUUGUUGAUGAAUUGUAGUUUUUUUUACUCCAUUAUUAACAAAAGAACCUUUUUCUGCACCUUGGUUGUUAAAACAAGACCAGACAUCAUCUUCUCCUGAUAAUAAUGUAGCCCGUAGUAUUCCUUUACCACUUUUGAAGCUGAAGGGAAACUUUCUAGCAAAACUUAGUGAGGACAAAUCUGAUUUAUAGUUUGUCGUUGUUGGAUUGACGAAAUACAGACCAUGGUCGGAUCUAAUAAGAAAGAGAACAUGAAAAACAAUUAUGCGUGAAGCCUUAUAUUAGAAGACAAGAUGGCAAGAAAAAGAAGUAAAAUGCUUGACUUUAUAUGAGCUGAAAUAUUCAACUUCUAGGAAGAAACACCCAUUUGUGUAACUUAAUCCAUACCAAUAUAUGCUCAUAAUAGACUAGUCAAGUCUACACAUUCCAGAGCAACUUAUGAAACUAUUACUUUUCUCCAUUCAUCAAGUACAAACGAUAAUUUCCAUAUAAGCACCGCAUAACGCAAUGUAACGGGAAAAACAAUUUUUAUUAUGACGAGAGAACACGCAGCCGCUACCCUUUGGGUGCACACAAGGGUAACGGGAAAAACUAUUGGAGCUAAAAGUUGCAAUGAUCAUUCACAGAAUGCAAGUUUGGGAUUUCUGAUGAGAUAAAUUUUGUCUUCAGUGAUAUAGUUAUGUUCAUUCAGGGGUUUCUAAAUAUUUUAGCUCCAACAGUUCUCUUUUUUCAUUGUAAAAGAAAAUUAAUUUAUGAAAGCUCAAGAUAGUGAGACAUACAAAAACCAACAUUCUCAAAUGUGCGCUAAAGCCCCGAAGCUCCAUACAACAUGGGAUUGGCACUUUGCUUAGCUUAAUCAGCGCUUUAGUGUAAGAUCCAAGGCAAUACUCAAGUAUGACAGCUUAUAUGUGUAGACACACACACACAUUAUACGUUUGCGCCUUUCUACACUAAGGCGCUUUUAACUACACUUUGCCCUUAAACCCCAAGAGACCUUCGAAGCUUAUCUACAAAUAUUGCUUUGAUAACAUUAACAAAACAAUAUAAAAACAAGAUUUUCAUUUAUAAUGUGCAUCAACAACAGCUCAGAGAAUACUUACAGGACUAUAGCUGUAAAUUCUCUGUAAUGUGGAAUUCCUGCUAUAUUACAUUCAAACCCUGUCUCCUUCAAUAAACAAAUAAAUCCUAUCAUCUUAUUUUAUUCAAUAGCAUACAGAAUUUGUCUGCCUUGGUUUCUUAAACUGAAUGUAUUAGUACUAUCUAAAUAUGUACUCCCUCCGUCCCAUUUUAACUGUCGCUUUAGCUCAAAAGAAUUGUUACUUUAGGAAUUCCAGACUAAAGUAGUUAAUUAUUUCCAACUAUACCCUUAACAUUAAAGAAUAGUUCCUUUUCACACUACACUAUACAUUGUUUUUCUUAAUGGGCGUGAAAAGAGCUAAAGUGACACUUAAAAUGAGACGGAGGGAGUAUUUCGCUAAUCUUAUACUCACACCCCAAAAGACUCCAACUUUUUUAAUCACAAUUUUCUGUAUAAGCACUAUACUAAACAUUGUUUUUCUUAAUGGGCAUGAAAAGAGCUAAAGUGACACUUAAAAUGGGACGGAGGGAGUAUGUCGCCAAUCUUGUACUCACACCCCAAAAGACUCCAACUUUUUUAAUCACAAUUUUCUACAUAAGCACUACACUGAACAUUGUUUUUCUUAAUGAGCGUGAAAAGAGCUAAAGUGACACUUAAAAUGGGACGGAGGGAGUAUUUCGCUAAUCUUGUACUCACACCCCAAAAGAUUCCAACUUUUUUAAUCACAAUUUUCUACAUAAGCACUACAUUAGACAUUGUUUUUCUUAAUGGACGUGAAAAGAGCUAAAGUGAAACUUAAAAUGGGACGGAGGGAGUAUUUCGCUAAUCUUGUACUCACACCCCAAAAGACUCCAACUUUUUUAAAUGACAAUUUUCUACAUAAGCACUACACUAAAGAUUGUUUUUUUAAUGAGCGUGAAAAGAGCUAAAGUGACACUUAAAAUGGGACGGAGGGAGUAUUUCGCUAAUCUUGCACUCACACCCCAAAAGAUUCCAACUUAUUUAAUCAUAAUUUUCUACAUAAGCACUACACUAAACUUUGUUUUUCUUAAUGGGCGUGAAAAGAGCUAAGUGACACUUAAACUGGGACGGAAGAAGUAUUUCCCUAAAUCUUAAACUCACACCCCAAAAGAUUCCAACUUUUUUAAUCACAAUUUUCUACAAAAGCACACUAUCCAAAGCAAGCAAAUUCACACACACACACACAAACAAAAAAAAAGAAAACACUUACAAUAUCUAGGUCUAAGAUGCUCCUAGAAUCCACUACACACAACCUAAAAAGGAACAAACUUUACAAGAUUUUUGGAACUAAAAUGAAAUGGGGUCAAAGAAAAUGGCAAAAAUUAACCAAAUUUCUAGUGAUCUUUGCUAUUUUCAAGCAAUAAAAAGAAAAGGGUGCUCAAGAAAACUCACCUCAAAUGAGAAAAAACCAUUGAAUUUUGAAUUGAAGCCAUUAUUAUGCUGACCCAAUUUGAGUAUAAAGUUGAAAUCUUUGAUGAAAUUGAAGAAGGCUUAAAGAGUAGUUGCGGAUAAAAAAAGCAGCUACGAGAAGAUGCUCAAUGGAGCUGUUAAAGGCCACUGUUUGGGGAUCAUGAGGACUUUGAAUAUGAACCGUUGGAUUAGGAUGCUUUUUUUAAGAUGUUGGAAUUUUAGGGUCCUUUGGUAGUCGGUUAAAGUUAUAUAUGGAUAGUUACGAUUGCACCUAUCCACAAAAUAAUACUAUGUGGAUAUAUUCAUUAUUGAAUUAUGAAUAUAUGUACUAGUUAUGUGAAUUUUUAAAUUACAACUCAAAUACUAUUUUCAACGCCCAAUUAUAUGGUCAUAGGUUAGCCACCAACCAUGAUGGCUGGCUAGCCUGUUUUAUCCCACCACUACACGCGAAUUUAUGUAAACUGGAGCGAAUGUUACGAUAUUCGAACGUUUUGAUUGAAAUUCAAUAUAUAUUUAUAUAUGUAUAUGUAUAAGAAAAUGUGCAAAUUUUAAUCAUGUCAUCCAAAUGAACAAUGAAUCUCAGCUAAUGGUUAAAACUCAAGUUACGUAUAUGUUAUACUUAGAACUUAUGUUAUAUAUAUAUAUAUAUAUAUAUAUAUUACUGUUUGAAGUUGCGUGACAUUCGAAAUUUUAAAUUUUAAAUUUGCUUUAUUUACCAUUCACAAUAUUGUCUUCAACACCAUUCAACCUCUAUAUUAUUUAAACAAAAUAUUAGAUAUUAAUACUAAUCAUAAAAAUAUGACACAUCGCUCUCUUUUAUUUAUAAUUUAUAUUUUAUAUAUAUAGGUUAAUUGCAAUCAAGAAAAAGUGGGAUUGUAAUAAUUGUACUAAAAACUAGAUUCUUUGAUAAUCAGUGGGUGCAGCACAAAAAGAGACUCUGAAUUUGGACUUAGAUUUUUAAUAACUUUUUCCUCAAAAAAGUUACUCAUAUUGUGUUUGAUGUUAUUGUUAGGGGCAUUUGACAGUUGAUUACAGCUACGUAUGUAUCAAGAAAAUAUUAUUUUAGGUAAGAUUUAAUUAUUUAUAUACUAUUAGUUAUUUUAUUUUAUAUCUUACAUAUAAUAUAAUACAUAAAUUCUCUCAUAACUUAUAUGUGUAUUAGACAUUAGAUAGAUGAAUUUCUAAAUUACAAUUCAAACACCAUUAUUAAUUUAAUACAUGAAUAAUUUAUCUGUUAACAAGUAAUCAAAUAUAAUAUUACUUAUACACAAAUUACUAUCGACAUAACUCAUAUCCAAACUAGCUACUAAACGACCCAUGUAUCAUCAGCAUAAGACAUAAAGCAGGAGUAGUGGUGGUGUCCAUUUACAUAGUGAAUUGCUCUUGACCUUAUCCUUAGUUGAAAAUGACUUGAAAAUCAUUGCCUUUUGAAAUGAAAUUUCAAAUCAUAAACAGACAAAAUCUUUGGUGUGAAAGUUUGUGUCCAAAAAUUUUCUUUUUAUCUCGUUCAAAAUUUAUAUUUAGUUAAUUUGGGGUUCGAUAAUUAAGAUUGGCUCAAGAAAAAACUAUUCGAGAAAAAACUAUUCCUUAUUAACGAGGUCCGAAUCGGAGAUUUCUAAUUAAAGACGAAAUACCUUAUCACUAUAAUCUAUCAAGAAAUUCAAAUAAGCAUUCAAUAUGUGAGUGUAAAUUAUAUUAUUUUUAUACAUGAGCCAUGCUAAUCUUUUCUAUAUUGUUUCAAUUUGAUCAGGUUAAUCUUAUUAUCCAUGUUUGAUUCCUAAAACUUCUAUACGAAACAUAAAUUAAAUCCAUAUUUAUUUUAAUCUAUCCCGAAAAUAAUGUAUUUUUAGAUAUCAAUAUUAAUCAUAGAAAGAUGACACAUCAUCGUCUCUAUCUAUAAUCUAUUUAUAUGUUAAUUGCAAACAAGUAAAAUACUAAAUAAUAAAUCCCUUGACAAUGUCAGUAGAUGCAGCACAAAAAAAGGGUCUGGAUUUGGAUCUACUAUUGUUGGGGCCGAUAAUAAUGUAUUUUUAUGUAUUUAAGAAGUAGUAUUUUUAUAAUUCUAUGUAAUACGCUAUUAUAAUAAUUAGCAGUAUUUUAAUUAAUAAUAUAGAAAGAAGAAGAACAAUGGCUAAAACCCUACAAUAAAACUCAAAACGUGGAGAUAGCCUGGGUAUAACACAAAUAGAGCCACUCAAAGCAAACUUAAAUUUCAAGGUAUUUUAUUCAUAUAGCAACCAUGAGUUCUUACGAUUGUUAGGUAUUAUUUUAUAAUGUAUCGUAAUGUCUGAAUAGAUUGUAUUGUUCUACGUCAUUUGAUAAUGUCACACAUUCGUGAUUUGAAUGAAAGGGUUUAUCACUUACUUGAGAAAUAUUGGAUAAACCCAAAAAAUAGGAAAAACUCUACCCGGUUUUUUAAUUUAAAGGUUGCUGUCAAGGUUUGCUUUGAGAUUCUCCCCUUAAAUCGUGACAUUCCAAUACUUUACCUGAUAAAGUUUAUGAUCAUAAAAUUUAAGGACUAUACACAUUUUUAAAUCAAGAUUAUAAGUUUCAAAAUUCUUUCUUUAUAUUUUAAAUAUCAUGUCCAAUUAAAUUAAGACACGUAAAUUAAAAUAACGGAGUAAAAAUUAAUAAAAUAGACGAGACAUGUAAAAAGUCAGAGAAUAAAAAGUCUAUCACGGGUAUAUAAUACCAACAUAUCAUAUAUGUCCAUAUAUUUUGUCAUUUAUUGUCCUUUUUCAGCCAAAAAUAUCCAAUUACCUUUUUUCUUGAUAAAAGUGACUUAAAUUAUUAUUAAAAGCAUAUAAACUUAAAAAAGGAAAUUCAUAAAACAAAUUCAAAUUCAAAAAGAUAUAAUUGUCUCCACUUUCUAUUCCCUCCACUUCUCCCUUUUUUUCCAUUUAUAUCUCAAAAUUUCUUCCUCCCACCACUUGCCAAUAGCCAUUAUCGAAGAUGAGAACUUGAAAGUGAAUCAUUCGAUAUUAAGAUUUUCAUAAAAUAAAAGGUGUUUUUUUCGUUCUAAAGGUGAAUAAAGGUAAGAAAAUUCGAUCAUAUACUACGCAUGAUAACAAUUGUUUUUGUGUUAUUAUAUGCAUGAAUUGUUAAAUUCUUCACUUUAUUGUUUUUCUAGGUGUUAUAGGGAGAUCAUAGAAUUAGAAUCAAUUUGCUAUCAUACAUGCUAGAUGUUACAUGUAAUAUUCUUUUUGAACUAUAUAAUGAAUAAAAUUCUGAAUUCGUCUUUUAUGAUAACAGGUGGUUAAUAACUAGAUGUCAACUCCGAAGUCUCCCCUUCCUACCCACAAUUCUACACCCUCCUCCCCUAACCACUCUCCUCCUCCUCCUCCUCCUUCUCGUCCUCGUCGCCUUCCCCCAUGGAAAGGUGCAAAGCUAAUCCCACUAGCUAUAUCGAUAGCAAUUGGCCUGAUUUUUCGUUUCGCGGUCCCAAAACCCCAUAAAGUCACUACAAACGCGUGGCAACUCCUAGCCAUUUUCCUUGCAACUAUCUCGGGCCUUGUUUUAGGCCCGUUACCAGUAGGUGCAUGGGCUUUUCUUUGUCUCACAGUUACUGUCGUCACAAAAACCUUAACAUUCGCUGCGGCGUUUGCUGCUUUCACUAAUGAAGUCAUUUGGUUAAUUGUUGUAUCAUUUUUUUUCUCAAGAGGAUUUAUUAAAACUGGGCUUGGUGAUAGAAUUGCCUUAUGUUUUGUAAGUUGGCUUGGGAAAAAUACAUUGGGCCUAUCUUAUGGGCUUGCGUUAAGUGAAGCAGCCAUUUCUCCAGCAAUUCCAAGUACUACUGCAAGAGCAGGUGGCAUUUUUUUGCCUAUAAUUAAAUCAUUGGCAGUUACAGCUGAUAGUCACCCAAAAAAUGAUUCUUCUAGGAAGCUUGGAGCCUAUCUUAUUCAAUCUCAAUUGCAGGUUAGAAUUCAUUUUUUACGAGUUUUAAGUUAUAUAUAUCGUCAGUAUAAUGUCAUCCAAUCACCUUUAACAUGUUAUACCUGGUAAUCUAUCUUAUUUUAUGAUUACAAGUAGUCCUUUUAUCACUACUAGAAAUUAAAGUUUUUUUUUCACCGCGAAUCAGUGGGAAAUUUGUGCUAUAGAACAUUUUGUUGAACCAACUCACUGAAAAAAUGCAUGAUCAUGAUACUAGCUUGUUUAAUUUAUUCAUUUACUAUAUAUAGUUGUGAUAACUACUUAAUGGACUACCAACAUGGGUUGUGGUGCACUGGUGGGAGUGUUUCACCCUUAACCAGAGGUCUCGGGUUUGAGCCCUGGGUAUGGAGAAAAUCUUGUUGGAAGCACCACCCCGAAUGGGCCCUGCAGAGCGCGAUCCGAAUUUAGUCACCGGGUGGGAAACCAAAAAAAACUACAUCAAUGUUGUUAGCAAUUUGGAAUAACACAAGUAUUUAACAUGUUAUAACAAGUCAAAGAAAAGAUUGUCCGGUGCAAUAAGCUCCUACUAUGUGUGGGGUUUGAGAAAGGGUUGGACCACUUACGCAGCCUUACCUUGCAUUUCUGUAAGAUGUUGUUUCCACAGCUUGAACCUCUGACCUCGUUGAUCACAUGACAGCUAACUUGACUAAUGCAAAUUUAUUUUGUGAUGCAUUUUACAGUGUUCUAGUAGUUCAAGUGCCCUGUUCCUAACAGCUGCUGCACAAAAUCUGUUGUGUGUGAAAUUAGCUGAGGGAUUAGGUGUACAAGUAUCAAGUAAAUGGCUGACUUGGCUCAAGGCUUCGUGUAUACCAGCAGUUAUAUCGCUUUUAGUUACUCCAGUUGUACUAUACAAGAUUUUUCCUCCAGAAAUGAAGGAUACACCAGAUGCUCCAUUAAUGGCUAGAAGGAGACUGCAACAGAUGGGGCCAAUGAAAAGCGAUGAAUGGGUGAUGACGAUUGUGAUGCUUGUAACAGUUGGAUUAUGGAUUGCAGGGUAUGUUCAAAAAAAUCCUGAUAUAAAACAAUGUAUUAUCAUCUGUUGUUUUCUUUUGCUUUGGUUAUCGUAUUAUUUGCUAUCGUUACUCUUAUGUAUUUCAUUAUUUACUUUAUAUGAAUCGAGGGUCUUUCAGAAACAGUCUUUUGGGGGUAAGGUAAGGUACGUGUACAUAACACCCCUCCAAACCCCACUUGUAGGAUUAUACUGGAUAUGUUGUUGUUGCUUUGGAUGUGUUCGAUAUUUCUUUUGGUUGUGUAGUGUUUCUUCCACGUUGGUUGAGAGAAUGAACGCUUUCUUCUUAUAUGGUUAAGGAUGAUUUUUAUGAGCUAACUUUCUAGUUGGGGACAAGUCCAGGGAGAGUGAAUCGUCGAAUAGGGAGAAGCGAUAUCACGGUAAACGCCUUUGGAAAACAAAGUCCAUUUUCUUUACAAAUAAGCUGCUUAAUUCCUUGUUUGUCUAAUGUUGGAUCCCUAUGUUAUAUUGUCCACUCACUGGAUGUUCAGUCCCGGGCGUGUGGAGGGGGCAAGGGAGUGUUAAGUUUCCACAUUGGUUGAGAAAAUGGACUAUUGUCCUUUUUUUAGGUCGGAUAUCCUUCAUCUUAUGAACUAGUUUUUGUGGUCAGGUUAGACUCGUUUUCCAUUUUAUACUUAAUAUCUCUUCAUUAUAUCCCUCUGCUCAUGACCUGAGUGACAUGUGGUUUGUACUUCAACAUAAAAUUUGAUUACCAACUGGUUUUGUAUAAAUUUGGUCUUGGGAUUGAGACGUAAUUGUUAUUGUUAUUGUUAUUGUUGAUUCUAUCUACCUUUUGAUCGAAUAACAUUUUCUUGGAUUAUAGUUGUCAUGUGUUGAACAUUUUCUAUUCCUCUCAUGAUCUGAUAGAUCCAAUCAUGAUAUUGAAGGAGGGGACCGUUUCUUGAGAACUCGAAUCCUGAAUCAAGUCCUUGUCUUGACAUUUGAACAUAUUGCUGAUGUUGCAUCUUCCUGUUUCUAUAUGUCUAUUUCGUUAUAUAGCCGAUGCUUGAUUAUGUCAACAACUUUCAUUUUAAUUUUUGUACAGAGAGGCUAUUGGCCUAGCAAGUGUUAUCACAGCAAUGCUGGGAUUGGCGCUACUUUUGACUUUCGGAAUACUUGAUUGGAAUGAUUGCUUGAGUGAAAAAUCCGCGUGGGAUACCUUAGCUUGGUUCGGGGUUUUAAUAGGCAUGGCAUCACAGUUAACAACUCUGGGAGUUGUCGCCUGGAUGUCAAAUGCUGUGGGUAACUACCUCGAAUCUCUUUCACUACAUUGGUUCGGAGCGUUUUGUAUCCUUCAAGCAGCAUAUUUCUUCAUCCAUUACUUGUUUGCUAGUCAAACUGGUCAUGUUGCAGCAUUGUAUUCAGCAUUUCUCGCAAUGUGCUUAGCAGCAAAAGUUCCUGGUCUUUUUGCUGCGUUGGCUUUGGGAUACAACACAAAUCUUUUUGGCGGGUUGACACAUUACAGCAGUGGUCAAGCUGCAGUAUACUAUGGAGGUAACUUAAUCGAAUCAUAUCUCUCUUUUAUUUGACAGAAUAUUGUUCUAAUUGAUUCGAGAGAAAAGUACUGCUUAUAUGGAUGAGAUCGUAUUAUUUGUUGUUGUUACUGUUCUCUUCUUCAUUGUUUUCAACCUGGCUUGUUCGCUACUGCAAUUGCUUUACACGCCUACUUUCUUAUAUGCUCUUGAGCCGAGGUCUAGCAGAAACAGUCUUUCUACCUUCAUAAGGUAGGAGUAAGGUUGUGUACACGCCACCCUCCCCAGACUUCACUUGUGGGAUUUAUGUUGUUUGUUGUUGUCGUCAAUAUGCAUGAGAAUUUCGGGGCAAAAUGAUUCUGACAUAAGCUUACAAAUUUGUUAACGGUGCAUCUUGAAUGGUUUAUGUAUCGACUUUGAUAGAAAACAGAACUGCGGAAAGGAGCAACUACUUAAGGCUUAAAAUGACAUAGAAUAAGCGGAAAUUGUUUCUGUUUUCUGAAUGUGUAUGUCUGCAACUUCCAAAGUCAUAUUUUUCGUGCAGCAAGAGUGGUAUCAGUAUUUCAACUUCUUUCUUGUUUAUCUGUAUUCAAUAUUUCGAUAACUUAUUCCCUUUUCGUUUAUUUGAGGAAUUCGAACUGGUCUUAUUUUCAAUUGCUCUUCUUUGGCAGCUGGUUAUGUAGAACUACGCGAUGUUUUCAAAUUGGGAAUCAUCAUAGCUAUUAUGAAUAUUGUCAUAUGGGCAGUAGCUGGAGCUGGUUGGUGGAAGGUUCUUGGCCUUUACUAAUACUGAAAUAAGUAAGUGAAUUCCAUGACUUCCUUCUUAUCGAAUAUUCGUGUAAGAAUGCAGCUAAAAAGUUCCCUGUGACUUGAAACCUCGAGCUCGAGGAUGUAGUUUUCUGAUAAAAGAUCGAGCAAUGCAUGCAUUAAUAAUCUAUGAUGAUCUUCUAAGUAAACAGGUGGUAGCAUAUUAACAAAUGGCAUUAUUGUUACACCAAUCACCAGGUCGUGAGGCUUUCCCAGGGGAUGUUUUCUACUUACAUUUCCGUCUCUUAGAAAGAGUGACCCAACGAUCUAACCAGACAGGCAUAGGUAGCUUAAGUAGCUCUCUUGGAUGUCAGUUUCCUCACCAUCUUAGUCGGACUAGUCUAAAAAACUUUCACUUGAACUGUCAAGACUCAGUUUUUUUGUGGGAAUCCCCUUCUAGUACUACGUUUCUAAGUUCUUCUUUUCAAUCCAAGUCGUGGUAAUAGUUUCUAUGUUAGGUCUAACGAGAUUUAUUUUGCUUAAGGCUACGUUUACCUAACUUUUACGAAGGAUUUUGCUUUCAAUUUUGAUCCGUUAAUCGUUACAUAAGAACAUACUAUUGAUCUUGCUAUAUCUAACAGGAAUUUUCUGGUGUAAUAACAAUUCAGGACAGGAUGCAUUUGUCCCAAAAAGCUCUAAUUAAAGGUAUUGAUUUGUCAUCAAUUAUAUCGCGAUACAAUUUGUUGGUGGUGGAGCAAGGAUUUUUAGUUUAUGGGGUACUAGACCACAAUUCUUUUUGCUUAUUGGGUUCUGGAUAAAUUACUUUUACCAAUUAUAUGAAUUUUUUUAACACGAAUACAAUCUUUUGAUGCAGUUUACUGUCUGUGUUGAACUGGCCUCUUAUUGCAUCUCAUUCCCAUCCUGGGAAGGUAGAACCAAAGAAAGGAAAGAACGAGAUGGUGGUUUUUGUUGUUCCCGCGAAGCAAAGAUCAUUCAUUAUUAUUAGCUUCAAUCUUUUUUAAAAUGCUCUAUCAUUGCCAUACCAAAUUAUUCGCUAUGGUUCAAUAUUUUUAAGUAUGGUUUUGGUUUUGUGUAGUAUGAUAAGUCGGUAAUCAUAGUUUGCACACCCCUAUAUGACACAAAUCAAUCAUUUUUUUAAUCUCAAAUAAUAUAUUUGUGUUUCAUAAACUUGUUUUGUUGUUCAUCAUCAAAUCAUUAAGCCUGUUCAAAGAUCGAUCACAUUCUUUCAUACAUUGCCUUCGUUCUCUUAAAAAUGUCAUUGCUACGCUCAACUUAAGGCACUUUCAUAUAUUCACUCAUGAUAAGCUCAUCAAGUACUAGAUCUUUCGAGUCUUUCAAGUACGUUAACUUAACGAAUAUCUUAAUGGCGAACUUGACUUCAUUAUACAACUACUUUUAAAGCACAAUGUACAACACUCAAAACUAUUAAUUAUAUGACUACUUUAGAUUAAAUUUUAUAAAAACAAUAAUUGUAAAGUGAAAGGAGUGAAAUCCAAAGCCCUCAUCAAUUUUCUACUUUUCUUUUUUACUUUUCCAAGUUUUUAUUUUUGCCCUUUAGACAAAGCACUCACAAAAUAGGGAAAAAAAAUAAAAAUAAAGCAUUGAAAGGAAAGUUGCCUACCAUUAAGGGGUCUACCCUCUAAAAAGCCCACUUUUUCAUCAAAAUCUUUUUUCCCCAUUUGUUACUUUUCAAUUUUAUAUUUAUUUCUGAUUUCCUUUUUCCUAGUUUUUGAUUCUUUACCGUUCGUGCAUUCUUUCUACUUGUCGUCCUUAUUAAAAAUAAAUUAUCUAAAAUAGUAAUAAUCUUAAAAAAUAAAGAUGUAAUCAACUUUUUGCUAGUUUCCACUUAUGCAGCAAGAACCAGACCUAUAACUCAAGUCAAUUCGUCAGUUUUUUCUAAAUCUACAGGUGAGAUACUCACGAAAUACAUACAAGAUCAUCACUAGGAUCAUCAUAGUUACCGAUCAUCGAUGAACGGAUCGAAUUACCCAAUCAAAGUUGACUUCAAUCAUCAUGUAUUGAACAGAAGCAAAAACCUCAAUAACGAUCAAACGAUAAUAAAGUGAUAGUAAGUUAAUAUUUUUCUUUAAAAAGGUGAAAAAAAUAUAACAAGUAAGAUGGAUCGGAGGGAUUACAAUUAAUCAUAGGUCAUAUCAGCUACUCCAAAAACAAAAAGAUAACUCUCUUUUCCUACUUUCUAAAGUAAAUGGAAAAAAUAUGUUCUUUAUUUUAUUGCUACUUUUCUUUUUCUUUUUUGGUGACAGUCACUUUCACUUUUGAAAAUUAAACUCAAAACUUGGCUAUCUAUCACUUUCUUCUGGAAAUAAACUGUAUGUAUAAAUAUUCCAAUACUAUCCAUGUGAUUCAUGCAACAUGUAUUAAGAUAUAUCUAGGUUAAUUUGAUCAAUUUUAAAUCAUGUUUUAAAUUGCUUUAAAAAUUUGGAUUGAACUAAUCCAUUGACCAAAAAAAGUUCAUGAGAAAAAAUCAAGUUAUAUAGGCCCUAGAGUACUACUCAUAAAGAAAUUCUUUUUCUUUAUUAAAUUCAUAACAAAAUAUAUUCAGAAAGAUCACAAAAAAAGAACAUUAUUUCAAGGUUUUUCUAUAGGCAUAGAUCGAGCAUCAAUAAUUUUGUAUUCGAUCAAAAAUUCGGUUGAUUGAUCAAGGUGGAUAGCUCCAGUAGACCUAUAACUUUACGAUUUUUAGUAUGAAUGUAAAUACAAUUAUUACUUGAUCAAUAUUCUAUCUACUCUAAUAGUGACAAUUUACAUCUAUAAAAUCACAAGAUAUAUAUGGUAUAAUAAUAGUAAUCCUUAGAGAUACAACAUGAGGUGUUUAAGGGGCAAAAUUAAUCAUGAGAUUUGUGAUCUUGAUAUUAAUUAUGUUAGAAUAUAAUUAACUUAGAUUGUCUCAAAUCAAUUAGCCUAGUACUUUCUUGGGUCUUAAUUAAUUAUGAUUAUCAAGAAGCAAACAACCAAAAGAUUUAUGCCAGCAUUUGGUACAAUAAUAUUGAUUUUAAGCAUUAAACUCCAUAUUUAAAAUUAUACAUAGUCCUAGUAAAUAACUAAAUAUGGCACAGUUUUAUUAAUGAAAUAGGUUAUUAAUAAAUUAUGCUCUUAAUUAAUUUCAAGAUUAGCAAAUUCACACGGGGAAGCAAGAAUAUUGUACUAUGGCAUUCAUUAUUUUAUGUUAUAUAUAUAAAAUAUAAAAUAAUAAUAAAAUGGAUGUGGGGGAGAAAAGAUAAAGUAAUUUUUAAUUUUAAAAAAAUGUAUUAAAUUUUUGUCACUUUUGGUACUUGUUGAAAAGUAUGAUCAACAAGUUUAAAAUUUUGGCUGAUUGUGUAAAUUGACUAUUACUAUUCUCUUGGAGGCCUUCAAGAACUGUUCUAAUUAGGAAAAUAAGAGUGUGAUUAAAAGGUGUUUAAUUAAGGCAGAAGGUUGAUAGGUAGUUAAGUAGUGUUUAAUUUUUUUAUUGUAUUAUUUUUCUUACUCUCAUAUUAUGUAAUUUGUCUUCGAUUCUAUUAUCUGUUGUUUUUAUUGUAUUUUGCUUCAUUUAUCGUACUAUUUGUUAUUGUUGCUGGUCAUGUUUUCUUCUCAUUAUUUUCGGUAUGACUUUUUCAUUAUAGUAUUUCCUUUACAUAUGUUACAUGAGUUGAGUAUUUAUCAGAAAUAACCUUUAUAUUUUCACAAGGCAGAGAUAAGGUUAAUUGCAUAUACAUUUUUUUUGACCCACUUAUAGAACUACAUUUGAUAUAUUAUUAUUGUUGUUGUUGUAUACCAAGAUAUGAUAACGAUAAAUUAAAGUUGAAGGGACGCUUUCGAACAACGAUAAAUAUAACACAUCGAUCACAAAUAUAUUCAGUCAAUAAAAUCAGUAUCUACAGUUUAAUGCUUGUAUAAAUAUAAAAUGUUCAAUGCAUCGAGCUGUCUUUUUUACCACAAAAAUAUGACAAACUACUAAUUGAUUAAAUUACUAUUGCUUAGUAUUUUGAUGAGAACCAAUCAUUUUCUUGUUAUCUUUGCAUGGAUUUGUUAAAGUGAAGAUGUUAUAUAUCUGCAAAACCAAGAAGCUAAGGUGCUUUUUCAAAGUUUUUGUUGAUGGACACAUAAUGAUUAAAUCAUAGAAAGAUGUAUUUUAUUAUUAUUAUUAUAUAAAUAAAUAAAAAUAAUAUUUAAGAAAAAAUGUUAUGGGGAUUUAAACAUAUACUUUUGUGCAGAGUCAGAAACACUAAUUAAUAUGUCCCAUACUUUUUGAUCUCUUAUCAACUACAAGAAGAUCCCCCUCUUCCCAUACCCCUUUUUCAGUGAACUCAAAAUAUUUUUUUUUCUUUUUUUGGUGUAUUUAUUGAGAAUUUACUUUAAACUUUAUGACUCAAGAUUGUGUAUAUAAUUCUAAUCGUCUUAAAGUAGCGAAAUUCCUUAUAAUAUAAAUAACGAUCUACUUAAAUGGUGUAACGAUUAUUCUAUUAUUUCUAAUGUGAAAAUUCAGUGAAAUUUGAAUUCCUUGUAAAAAUGCAAACUAUUAAUGUCUAGACGAUAAGAUAUCAUACAUUUUAACUAUAUAUAUAUCUUCUCCGUAACAAGCUUAUUCAAAUAUUUAUGAUAGACGGGAGGUAAUGACACACAACAAAUUAAAUUAGAAAUUUGUGGCAAAUGAUCUCACAUCAAAUGACAAUAAUUUUAUACCCUAAAGAAUAUUUCAUAUAAUCUCUAUAUUUAUGUAGUACAGUUUAAAUUUUGAGAGUAGUCAAACAAUUUAAUUUGAUUGUGAAUUCAAAUAUGAAAUCUUUAAGUUUUUUGAAAUAAAAUUUAUAUAUUUGAAAAUUAUCUAAAGAGUACUAUUAUAAGUCACAAUAAUAAAUAAUUUAAAAUAUUUAAAAAAUAUGAAAAAUUAUGCUAAUUAUUUUUUAUUUAAAUAACAAAAUUUGAAAAAUGCGACAUGCAUAAAUUGGGACGGAAAGAGUUUUUUUUUUUCCAAUGAUGUGGCCAUAUGGACAGCUUUUGCUUUGCAAUUUUAUGUCUACCUUGAAAACAAGCAAAUGAACUUAAUUCAAAUAUUUUGUUUUUUCGUUGAAACUUUUAUAUGUUUUUUUCUUUUUCUUUUUGAACAAAUGCUAAGUAAACUCACAUGCACACAACUCAUCAAUUCCCCUUUUUUUUCUUGUGGGGUUUCCCUUUGGGACAAUGGAGAAAACUUAACUCACACUAACACGUGUUGUCCACAUUAUAAAAGUGAAAAAUUCUUUUUUUUUCUUCUAUCAAAUUCAGAGAAGUUUCAGAUUCGAGUUUUGAGUAUAAAAUUAUUUUUAUUGAAAACUAUUUCACUCUCAGUAUGAUCAAACUUUUUAAUGUGAUCAAUUUAGAUUUUAUUGAACUCUCAUACAAAUAUCGAACAUCAGACGACACAUAAAAGAAUUAAACAAUUUCAUUUUUUCAUUAAUAGGACUUACUUUUUGUUGCCUAUGGUGGGCUCCUAUUUAUUUUUAAAAAAAAUUAUUUUAUAAUAUGAUGAGAAGCUAGUAGAAUAUUACAGCUAAAUUCCCACUUGCAUGUCCCCUAGAUGUCACAACUCAAAAGAAAUGCCAAUUUUUCUUCCAUCUACUAAACAAUAAGACUUUUUUGAAUGAGAGUUUUGAAAAUGAAAUCUCUCAUUGCCAUCGAUCUAAAGUUUUUUAAAAUUAUAUAUUGAUUCGAGACAGAUUAGAAUUUGAAUUUAAUAUGUUCGAUUGAUCUUGAGAAUUUUAUCAUCGAAUUUACCCUUUUGAAUUAUAUCGAUUACGAAUUAAAUAUUUAUCAAAAAAAAAGUUAGUAGUUUUUCAUAUAGAUACGGAUAUACUGUGUACAUGUCAAAAAAAUAUUAUGAUCAGUUGAACUCAUAAUCAGAAUAUUAAACCCGACUAUGAUAAUAAUAUCACGUAAUUAUAUAGUUUUCGAUAUAUGAAAAACAUUAACAUGAACAAAGUAACAUUAGGACAACGUAUAAAUAACUCAAUCAUUUUUUUCCCAUUGAAACCAUUCUUAUAUCAAAUACGUCUAUAUGAAUAAAAUACAUGCAUCGUACUUACACAGAGGCGUAUUUAGGAUUUUGAGAUGAUGGAUACACUAUUACAAAAAGGCGGAUUUAAGAUAUAAAUAUAUGUGAAUGUGUAUCGAUGUUUAGAUUCAUUUGUUGUUGUUUUUUCGAUUUCUUGCUCGAGCUAGAUGAUGAAAAAUUAUCAUGUCCAAUUUUUCGGGGGAUGGAUAUAUAAAAAUUCAGGAAUUAUGUGUAAUUGAUUAAUAUUUUUGUAAUAAGAGUACAAUUGACAAAUAUUAUGGAGAUCCCACUUAAUUAUAAUCCUAUUAAGUCCUAAUUAAAUAGUAGGGAGCUAUAUAUAGACUGUAGAGGAACAUUUAAUUUCUUGAUUGAAAAAACUGAUGUGAAAUUAUUAUAAAUAAUUAAAAAAAUAUAUAAAAGUUACAAGAGUCAAACAAGACAUAAAUUUGUUUUUAUUAAAAUGCAGGAUAUGGACCCAAUAUACAGGAUGUUAACUUAUUUUCUAGUGUCUACGUGUUUGGGCAAACAUUUAAUUUAAUUGGAAAAUAAUCAUUUUUUCACAUCUUUAUAGUUGUCUGUGCAACCAAAUUAGCCUGUUUUGUUUUUUGUUUUUAAUCGGUAUGAAUCGUAAUGGGGUGAUCAUUUGUGAUCCUUUAAUUCUAAAUCAAAAGUUUCAAAUUCAAGCAUCAGAAAAAUGAAAUAUUUUUGUUAAAGCAUUACACCUAAUAAUAAGUUAUAAUGCACAAGUUCAAAUUAAAUUGAAUCACGUUAUAAAUAUCGAACAUCUAGUGAAAAACCUAAAAAAAAAAAGUUUUUUUUUUAUUAUAGAUUUUUCAAUGAUGUUAUAAUUACAAGUAGGUUUUAACCACAUGCUUAGAUAUGAUAAAGCAGACAAAUUAUAUUCUUCUCUGUUCUUUUUUUUCACAUAUCAAGGCAAGAAGAGAUAUUGGUCACAAACUCUUGAAACUGUAUGUGGAUUGAAUUACGUAUCAUUAAAGAAGAUAUGAAUUUAUUAAAAAAAAUUGUAUCGGAAUUAUGAUUUCUUCACUCUUAAUUAAAUAUUUUUAUUUAAGUUUUUAUUUUACAAGAAAUGUAGUGGAAUUUUCUAAUACACUGUCGAAAACAUCAUCUAUUAAUUCAUUAGGGAUAUGAUAUUGAUAUAAGGAUCGUACAAUAUCAUUCACUAUCCAAUUUAGAAAUAUUCUUUUUCCAAGACAAACCAUACAAUAAAGAAAUUGAAAACUUAACCAAGUUAUGAGCUACAACAUAACUUUUUGUCAUUUUAUUAAUUUAUUUUAAAAUUACUAAUUUCGAUAAAUUAAUUGAGGGUGAUAUUAAAAAUAAUACCAUAAUUUUUGUAUAAAUAAUCUUAAGGUUACAUAUAUAGAAAUAUUAAAAGUUAACCACACUCGUCAUAAAAAAUUAAAAUUUUAUCAAUAUUCGAUGUUUAUAUAAAAUUAAGGGAAAAGGGCCUGAUAUACCCCUCAACUUUGUCAUUUGGAGCUGAUAUGCCCCNNNNNNNNNNNNNNNNNNNNNNNNNNNNNNNNNNNNNNNNNNNNNNNNNNNNNNNNNNNNNNNNNNNNNNNNNNNNNNNNNNNNNNNNNNNNNNNNNNNNNNNNNNNNNNNNNNNNNNNNNNNNNNNNNNNNNNNNNNNNNNNNNNNNNNNNNNNNNNNNNNNNNNNNNNNNNNNNNNNNNNNNNNNNNNNNNNNNNNNNNNNNNNNNNNNNNNNNNNNNNNNNNNNNNNNNNNNNNNNNNNNNNNNNNNNNNNNNNNNNNNNNNNNNNNNNNNNNNNNNNNNNNNNNNNNNNNNNNNNNNNNNNNNNNNNNNNNNNNNNNNNNNNNNNNNNNNNNNNNNNNNNNNNNNNNNNNNNNNNNNNNNNNNNNNNNNNNNNNNNNNNNNNNNNNNNNNNNNNNNNNNNNNNNNNNNNNNNNNNNNNNNNNNNNNNNNNNNNNNNNNNNNNNNNNNNNNNNNNNNNNNNNNNNNNNNNNNNNNNNNNNNNNNNNNNNNNNNNNNNNNNNNNNNNNNNNNNNNNNNNNNNNNNNNNNNNNNNNNNNNNNNNNNNNNNNNNNNNNNNNNNNCUUUUUCAUUUUCGUUAGAGGAAAAGGGUAUAUAUCAGCCAUUUAUAUAUAAGUAGGGGUAUAUAUGAGCUACUUUCAUAACGAGAGUUAUAUCAGCUCUAAAUGACAAAGUUGAGGGGUAUAUCAGGCCCUUUUCCCAUAAAAUAUUAAUGACGUACAGAAAUUGUCAUGCUAAAGUCACAAACAUGAACGCAUGUGUAAUAUCUAAAAUUAUUAUUUGGAAAAACUAAAAUUUAAAUGAAAGUCGGACAAGAAAUUUUUGUUGCCAUAUUCUUUUUUUGUCUGAUUGAAAUAUUAUGAGGUUUAUCUGUUUCUAAAAAUAUUUUUUGUUAAUAUUUCCAAUAUAUUUAGGCUGUUUGGUCCUCCUUAUCCCUAAAAAGACGCCAAAAAAUAUAUUUUCUGUCUUUUAUUAUUAUUAUUUUUGUGAUCCAUUUUCUUUCCUUUUCCCUUUAAUACGUAAAAGUAUGUUAACCAAACUGUAACAAAAAGUCAAUAUUUACCUUUCAAUUAAUCGGCGAUACACGCACCAACGACGCCGAGGAAAUGAAAUGGGGUUAUGCUGACGUGUCAAAUAUCUUUAGCCAGCUCAGCUCAAGCCGAGCCGAGCCGAGCCGUGCUCCUUUCCACAUUCUGCUUAUCACUACUAUAUAGCUUAUACUGCCAUGUCAAUAUUCACUUUAUUCUUAUCCAACAUUUUAUUAAAAGACAAAAAUUACCCUUAAUUUUUUCUUCUAUUGAGUAUAUAAAAUAAUAUAAGAGGAGUUUGAAUUUUAAGACAUUUUAUUAAGAAUAAAAAUUUUAAAUAUGAUUUAACUAAUCAUUAUUUUCAAAAUGAAUUAACUUCUAUGUGAUGUUAGUUGACUUUAAAAAAAAAUAAUAUUGGCGAGAGUUAAUUUUUGAGAUAGUCACUCAAUUAAAUGUUAUUAUUUCAAAAUAUUACUUUGGUUGUUGAAACAGUUGCAAUCAAGUAGAAAAAUAAUUUUUCGAAAAUAAUAACUAUUAAUUGAGUGAACAUACACAAUAAAUCCUUAACACAUAAUUAAAGCUCACUAAUAAUAGUUUAUUUGUCUCAAUUUAUUUAUAUGAAUGUAUUUGACUGAUAAUGAAACAAAUGCUUUUCAAAUUCAUAGUCCCAAAUAUAAAUUAUAUAUAUUUGUAUAGCUAGAAAUGAUCUCAUAUAAAAAGUCUAAAAAUUGAAAAUAUGUCCUUCUUUUAGUUCGAUAAAAAAUGUUUAUCGCAUAAAUUAACAUAUAAAUCUUUUUUUCAAUGUAAUUAGCGCAUAAAACUUAAACCCAAGAAAAUAACAUACUAUUCUUCUAUUUCAAUUUAUGGAUAAAAAAAAUAAAUUACGGCUAUAAAUUAUUUCAAUAAGAGUAAAAUAAACGGUUUGAUAUUAAAAUUCUUACUAAAUAUGAAAAAAUGUCACUUUUUAUAACUGACUAAAAAAGAAAAAGUGUCACGUAAACGAAAAACAGAGAAAAUAUACUAUAUUAUAAUAUAAUAUUUUUUAUAUCUAUUAUAUAAUAAUAAUAUAUAAAUAUAUAAGCUAAAUCCAAAAGAAUAUCCCCUUAAACUAGAAAACAUUGCAUUUAGGUUGAAUUUGGCUUGAAUUUAGAGUUCAUUUCAUUUCCCCCCCAAGAAAUUUGCAAAGUGCACCUAACCCCAGUCAGAUUCUAACCCUACAUCUGACUCACCUUUGGUUUUAUUUAAAGUGAGAGAAAGUGUUAAGCAAAGGGCCAGCAGGUUUUUUCUCAUCUCAAUUUUCACAACUCUCCCAAAAAAAAAUUCUUCUCAAAAAAAAAAAAAAAAAAAACUUUUAUGGGGUGUUUCAACAUUUGAUUUUUAAGUUAAUGAUGUAAAAAUAGGAAAAAUAUUGUCAAAUUUACCCUCUUUUUUAUCUAUCAAUUUCUUCCCUCUAUUAGAUUUUCUUGAUUUUUGCCUUCCAAUUCUUGAUGGGUUGUUGUGAGGGGGAGGAAAUAUCUAAAAAGGAGAAAAAUGGAAGUUUGGUUAGUAGAGAAGAAAAGGGGUUGCACAAAAUCAAAUCUUUCACUCAAAACUUUGCCAUUUUGGUUGGUUUUAGUAGUGAAAGUAUCUGUUUUCAUGUCUUCUUCUUAUAAGUGAGAAAAAAAAAGGACAAGAACACUAAAUUUAACUCCUUUUUUGCACUUCUGUUUCGCAGUAAAUAUAAGGUUAAGAAAGAAUUCAAGUAAGUGAACUUUGAUCCCAAAACAAAAGGAAACAAAUAUUGAACUUUGUUAUUGUUUGGAAAUUUGGAUCAUCAAAUCAUAAUUAUGAAAAGACUUAGUAGCUCUGAUUCUUUGGGAGCUUUGAUGUCCAUGUGUCCAAGUACUACAGGUACUUGUUAAUAUGCCUAAGUGAACUACUAGUAUAUGAUUAUAGUUUUGAAAACUUUUUUCUCUUAAAUUUAUUUAUAUUCUCAUUUCAUGUUCUUGUAUUUAUAACCUUUUUCCAUGCUCCAAUCCCUAGUUUUAGCUAUAAUGAAAACUAAUGGGGAAUAUUGAAAAAAAUUGGAUUUUUUAAUUGAAUCAAGAAGAGUGUCUUUUUUUUCUUCCUGUUUUAGCAAGUUUUUGUGCUUGACUCUUUAUACCAUUGUUUGUUCUAUUUCCAUAUUUAGCUUUCUUCAAGGCAAUUAUGUGGUCUCUUUAUUUCAUCAUGUUUGGUCAUAAGUUUCGAAGUUGAAAUUUGAAAAUUUGAGCUUUUUUGAAGUUGUGGAAGUCUCAAAUGCCCCCCAAAACUAGCUCACUUAUGAUGUUUGUAAUCAAAUUUCACCGUCAAACAGAUAUGAUGAUAAAUUUUCAAAAUCUAUGGUCAUACGCUAGCGAAUCAUGUCUUUACUCAUAUUCUUGUUUAUAUAUCAUAGUAUGAGCUAGUUUUGAGCAAAACAGAUAUUUGAAGAUAAAUUUUCGUCGUGUCUAUUCUCAUGUUCUUGAAUUUUGAUGUUUUUUUUAGAUGACCAGAACCAUGGGAACAGCCAUGUGUAUUCAACAAGAGACUUUCAGUCUAUGUUAGAAUUAGGCUUAGAUGAAGAAGGAUGUGUGGAAGAAUCUGGCCAAAAGAAAAGGAGACUAAGUGUUGAACAAGUGAAAGCUUUGGAGAAGAAUUUUGAAGUUGAGAACAAACUUGAACCUGAAAGGAAAGUGAAAUUGGCUCAAGAACUUGGAUUGCAGCCUAGACAAGUAGCUGUUUGGUUCCAAAACCGACGUGCUCGAUGGAAAACAAAGCAACUUGAGAGAGAUUACAAUGUUCUUAAAGCCAAUUUUGAUUCACUCAAACACAACUAUGAAUCUCUCAAACAUGACAAUGAAGCUCUUGGCAAAGAGGUACUAAUUUAAUGAAGGCUUGUGUUGUUAGUCUUGUUAUAGUAUAGUAAGUUUGAGUUCUAUGCAUUCGAUUUACGACUAUAGAUUAGGGGAGGGAGGGUCUAAAAUUUAAACUUUAUGGGUUCCAGUUCGAGAAUCUAUCAGAAACAGUCUAUUAGGAUGUAUACACUAGCCUUUUCCAGACCUUACGUGUGGGAUUUUAUUUUGUUUGUUGUUGUUGUUAUUCUAAUUCGAGAUUCUACCAUAAGUCAUUUGAUUUACACAAUCAAGUGACCUAUGAUAUGACUACGGUUUAAAGGAGGGUCCAACAUUUAAACUUUUAUGUGUCUAGUUCUAGGUACUACCAUAACUCAUUUGAUUUACACUAUCAAGUGGCCUAUGAUAUGACUACAUAUUAGAGGAGAGUCUUAAAUUUGAACUUUAUGUGUCUAGUUCGAGAUUCUACCGUAACUCAUUUGAUUUACACAAUCAAGUGACUCAUGAUACGACUAUGGAUUUAAGGAGUGUCGAACAUUUAAACUUUAUGUGUCUAGUUCUUAGAUUCUACCAUAAACUCAUUUGAUUUACACAAUCAAGUGACUUAUGAUGCGACUAUAUAUUAAAGGACGGUCCAAAAUUUGAACUUUUUGGGUUCUAGUUCGAGAUUCCACUAUAACUCUGACCUAUGAUACGACUGCUGAUUAGAGGAUGGUCCAAAAUUUGAACUUUAUGGGUUCUAAGUUCGAGAUUCUACCAUAACUCAUUUAAUUUAUCGAGUUCAAAAUAAAUUGAUACUUGGUACAGAUAAACAUUUAAAGUUUGAAUCUUUUCUAUCGAAACAACCUCUAUGUCCAAAACUCCACUUAUGGGAUUACCCCGAGUAUGUUGUUGUUUAAAGUUCGAAUCUUUACUGAUAUUAUGUCUUUCGAUAGAUUCGUGAGCUGAAAUUAAAGGUAUAUGGUGGUGAGAAUGGAGAAAGCAGAGGAGCUGUUGUUGUUUCAGUGAAGGAAGAAGCUAUGGAAUCUGAAAAUGAUGACAAAAUGAUUGAACAGAACAAGCCAAAUGAUCUUCUUGAAGAAGAAGAAGACGAAGAUCAAGAUCAAGAUGAUGAUGUCGAGAUCAAUGCUACUAUUGCAUCCACCAUUUUUGCUGAUUUUAACAAAGAUGGUUCCUCAGAUAGUGACAACUCAAGUGCAAUCUUGAAUGAAGAUAACAGUCCAAAUGCUGCUGCAAUUUCAUCGUCUGGUGCAUUCUUGAUCUCUAAUGAUGGUGGGGUUGGUUGUUCAUCUCCGUUGAAUUUCACCUUCAAGUUCACAGAAUCAAGUCCAAAGUCAAUUCUUGGAGAUUCCCAAAAAGCUAAUUGUUUUACUUAUCAACCUUCGUCAACAACAACAACAACACAGUAUGUGAAGAUGGAGGAACAUAAUUUCUUCAACGGCGAAGAAUCCUGCAGUACUCUUUUCUCAGAUGAACAAGCUCCUACACUUCAAUGGUACUGUUCUGAAGAUUGGAACUUUAAAGACACUCCUAGUCAUCUUUCUUGAUCAUGAAUAAAGGAGGAAAUUGUCUUAUGGAACCAAAUUUUGUAUAGUGGUUAAAAAAAUUGCCUAAUGGGAACAAAGUGAAAAGAUGAAGUUUUUGGAUUUUUCCCAAGUUGAAGAGGGGGUUGUGGGGNNNNNNNNNNNNNNNNNNNNNNNNNNNNNNNNNNNNNNNNNNNNNNNNNNNNNNNNNNNNNNNNNNNNNNNNNNNNNNNNNNNNNNNNNNNNNNNNNNNNNNNNNNNNNNNNNNNNNNNNNNNNNNNNNNNNNNNNNNNNNNNNNNNNNNNNNNNNNNNNNNNNNNNNNNNNNNNNNNNNNNNNNNNNNNNNNNNNNNNNNNNNNNNNNNNNNNNNNNNNNNNNNNNNNNNNNNNNNNNNNNNNNNNNNNNNNNNNNNNNNNNNNNNNNNNNNNNNNNNNNNNNNNNNNNNNNNNNNNNNNNNNNNNNNNNNNNNNNNNNNNNNNNNNNNNNNNNNNNNNNNNNNNNNNNNNNNNNNNNNNNNNNNNNNNNNNNNNNNNNNNNNNNNNNNNNNNNNNNNNNNNNNNNNNNNNNNNNNNNNNNNNNNNNNNNNNNNNNNNNNNNNNNNNNNNNNNNNNNNNNNNGGGGGGGGGUGAAAAGGGGGUGGUAGGGGUGAUAAGUAAAAAAAAAAAAGGGAGAUGAAGAAAAAUUCAAGAAAAUGGUUAUGGAGAGAAAAAGAGCUUCCUUUGUAAUGGCAAAUAAAAGUGGCUAAAAGUAUAAAUAACCAUGCAUUCUAUAUUUGAAUGAUUUUAUAAUCCUUUUUCCAUGCAUGAAGGGAAAAUGAAAAUGGUAAUUCAUAAUUAAUAAUUAUGCUUUUAAAUUAUUUGAUAUGAAAAGUUAAACUCAUCAAUCCAGGCACAUUUCGAGAUUCAAAUAAAUCUAUCUUUGAUUGUAAUUUUUUAUAUGUUUUUUAGAACUUUUGAAUUAUUAUUUAUUGUGACUUAUAGUAUUUUUUACGUAGUUUACAAAUAUGUAAAUUUCAUAUAAAAAUUUGAAGAUUUAAUGAGUAAAUUUUUUAUUAAAUUUAAAUUAUUUGACUCUUAAAAAAUGUAGUGUCAUAUAAAUUGAGACAAAAGAGGAGCUUUUCUCCUUUGUUAUAAUCUAUGUGAACAUUAUUUUAAUAGUCUAUUUGAAGAGAAUUACACGAGUAAUUUGAAAAUGUUUGCUUCUCAUUUUAAGAGCCAC
This 34389-nucleotide long non-coding RNA is filed under the name Solanum tuberosum (potato). RNAcentral describes it as "long non-coding RNA (STUB_LNC010407)". Lineage: Eukaryota; Viridiplantae; Streptophyta; Magnoliopsida; Solanales; Solanaceae. The record is from RNAcentral.